GCGUGAGUGAUGAAGGCCUUCGGGUCGUAAAACUCUUUUCAAGGGGAAGAGGAAGGACGGUACCCUUGGAAUAAGCAUCGGCUAACUACGUGCCAGCAGCCGCGGUAACACGUAGGAUGCGAGCGUUAUCCGGAUUUACUGGGCGUAAAGAGCUCGUAGGCGGCUUGUCGCGUCUGCUGUGAAAACCCGAGGCUCAACCUCGGGCUUGCAGUGGGUACGGGCAGGCUAGAGUGCGGUAGGGGAGAUUGGAAUUCCUGGUGUAGCGGUGGAAUGCGCAGAUAUCAGGAGGAACACCAAUGGCGAAGGCAGAUCUCUGGGCCGUAACUGACGCUGAGGAGCGAAAGCAUGGGGAGCGAACAGGAUUAGAUACCCUGGUAGUCCAUGCCGUAAACGUUGGGAACUAGAUGUAGGGCCUGUUCCACGGGUUCUGUGUCGUAGCUAACGCAUUAAGUUCCCCGCCUGGGGAGUACGGCCGCAAGGCU
Molecule: ribosomal RNA, 482 nt
Filed under: uncultured bacterium
Lineage: Bacteria
Description: bacterial SSU rRNA
Rfam family: Bacterial small subunit ribosomal RNA
Source: RNAcentral